This 321-nucleotide ribosomal RNA is filed under the name uncultured Nitzschia. Its description in RNAcentral is "partial Bacterial small subunit ribosomal RNA". It matches the Rfam family "Bacterial small subunit ribosomal RNA", at positions 1 to 354 of the family's 1533-position model. Lineage: Eukaryota; Bacillariophyta; Bacillariophyceae; Bacillariales; Bacillariaceae. The record is from RNAcentral.
UUGAGAGUUUGAUCCUGGCUCAGAACGAACGCUGGCGGCAGGCCUAACACAUGCAAGUCGAGCGAGACCUUCGGGUCUAGCGGCGGACGGGGUAGUAACGCGUGGGAACGUACCCUUUUCUAAGGAAUAGCCACUGGAAACGGUGAGUAAUGCCUUAUACGCCCUUCGGGGGAAAGAUUUAUCGGAGAAGGAUCGGCCCGCGUUAGAUUAGAUAGUUGGUGGGGUAAUGGCCUACCAAGUCUACGAUCUAUAGCUGGUUUGAGAGGAUGAUCAGCAACACUGGGACUGAGACACGGCCCAGACUCCUACGGGAGGCAGCAG